This 77-nucleotide transfer RNA is filed under the name Erysipelotrichia bacterium. RNAcentral describes it as "tRNA-Arg". It matches the Rfam family "tRNA". Rfam says of the family: Transfer RNA (tRNA) molecules are approximately 80 nucleotides in length. Their secondary structure includes four short double-helical elements and three loops (D, anti-codon, and T loops). Further hydrogen bonds mediate the characteristic L-shaped molecular structure. tRNAs have two regions of fundamental functional importance: the anti-codon, which is responsible for specific mRNA codon recognition, and the 3' end, to which the tRNAs corresponding amino acid is attached (by aminoacyl-tRNA synthetases). tRNAs cope with the degeneracy of the genetic code in two manners: having more than one tRNA (with a specific anti-codon) for a particular amino acid; and 'wobble' base-pairing, i.e. permitting non-standard base-pairing at the 3rd anti-codon position. The record is from RNAcentral. Lineage: Bacteria; Bacillati; Bacillota; Erysipelotrichia.
AUCCCUUUAGCUUAGUUGGAGAAAGCGUGUGACUACGAAUCACAAGAUCGGGAGUUCGAGUCUCUCAAGGGAUACCA